This 26-nucleotide non-coding RNA is filed under the name Callithrix jacchus (white-tufted-ear marmoset). The record is from RNAcentral. RNAcentral also lists the same sequence under 1 other name. Lineage: Eukaryota; Metazoa; Chordata; Mammalia; Primates; Cebidae.
UGGUGAAAUGAACUUCUAGGCAGCAA